GUUCUUGGUCAAUUAGAGGAAGUAAAAGUCGUAACAAGGUUUCCGUAGGUGAACCUGCGGAAGGAUCAUUACUGAAUCAAAGUAAUCCUUUAGGAGAGCGGCCUCGGGAGUCGAAAGGCUCUCGGGGGACCCACCCUCCACACCCUUGUGUACCUUCUAUGUUGCUUUGGCGGGCCGACCCGGUUUCGACCCGGGCGGCCGGCGCCCCCAGCCCCCUAAAAAAGGGCCAGGACGUCCAGGCUAAGUGCCCGCCAGUAUACAAAACUCGAACUAUGAUUUCUGUGUAGUCCUGAAUAAAUUUUUUAAUAAAUUAAAACUUUCAACAACGGAUCUCUUGGUUCUGGCAUCGAUGAAGAACGCAGCGAAAUGCGAUAAGUAAUGUGAAUUGCAGAAUUCAGUGAAUCAUCGAAUCUUUGAACGCACAUUGCGCCCCCUGGCAUUCCGGGGGGCAUGCCUGUUCGAGCGUCAUUUCAACCCUCAAGCUCUGCUUGGUAUUGGGCGACGUCCGGUCAAACGGACGCGCCUGGAAGACCUCGGCGACGGCGUCUCAGCCUCGAGCGUAGUAAUUUUCUAUCUCGCUUUGGAGGAGGGGACGGCGCCUGCCGGACAAUCGACCUUCAGUCUAUUUUUUCUAAGGUUGACCUCGGAUCAGGUAGGGAUACCCGCUGAACUUAAGCAUAUCAAUA
RNAcentral lists this ribosomal RNA (686 nucleotides) under Phyllosticta sp. D15b2. Its description in RNAcentral is "eukaryotic LSU rRNA". The stretch from base 315 to 468 matches the Rfam family "5.8S ribosomal RNA". Lineage: Eukaryota; Fungi; Ascomycota; Dothideomycetes; Botryosphaeriales; Phyllostictaceae. The record is from RNAcentral.